UGCACGUGCAUUGUUGUGCAACUGGUAACCCAAAAAUUAAAAUAUGGUUGUAAAUGCAUUUACCGGUCAUUCUGAUAUUAAUGCUCGCUAUGGGAACACAGGAUGGCCGGGCAGUGAUAGUUGUACAUUUCCAUCACUCGUUGUGUUGAUUUCAUCAUGUCCAUUAGGUGAUGUUUUUACACUAUAGAAUCAUAUUGCAAGUGCGCGCGCAUUUGCAAUAUGUUUCAAUGUGCAUUUACUAUAUGAAAUUUGACAUGCUCAAAAAUGCAAAAUUGACUGGUCUGAUGGACACAGGAUGGCCGAGCAGUGAUAGUUGUACAUUUCCAUCACUCGUUGUGUUGAUUUCAUCAUGUCCAUUAGGUGAUGUUUUUUCACUAUAGAAUCAUAUUGCAAGUGCGCGCGCAUUUGCAAUAUGUUUCAAUGUGCAUUUACCAUAUGAAAUUUGACAUGCUCAAAAAUGCAAAAUUGACUGGUCUGAUGAACACAGGAUGGCUGAGCAGUGAUAGUUGUACAUUUCCAUCACUUGUUGUGUUGAUUUCAUCAUGUCCAUUAGGUGAUGUUUUUUCACUAUAGAAUCAUAUUGCAAAUGCACGUGCAUUGUUGUGCAACUGGUAACCCAAAAAUUAAAAUAUGGUUGUAAAUGCAUUUACCGGUCAUUCUGAUAUUAAUGCUUGCUAUGGGAACACAGGAUGGCCGGGCAGUGAUAGUUGUACAUUUCCAUCACUCGUUGUGUUGAUUUCAUCAUGUCCAUUAGGUGAUGUUUUUACACUAUAGAAUCAUAUUGCAAGUGCGCGCGCAUUUGCAAUAUGUUUCAAUGUGCAUUUACCAUAUGAAAUUUGACAUGCUCAAAAAUGCAAAAUUGACUGGUCUGAUGAACACAGGAUGGCUGAGCAGUGAUAGUUGUACAUUUCCAUCACUCGUUGUGUUGAUUUCAUCAUGUCCAUUUGUUUAUGUUUUCUCACUUUUGCAAAGUCACUGUGCAUUUGCAAUAUGGUUCAAUGGGCAGGUACCAUCACGAAUUUGUCAUGCUAUAAAAAUCCUGCAGGAAUGUGAAAUUGACUGGCCCGAUGAACUCGGCAUGGCUGGGCAGUGAUUCUGGUUCAUCUCAAUGGCUCGUUAGGGUUGAUUUCAGAAUGUCACUUUUGGUGAUGGUACCUCACCGUUUAAACAUAUUGCUAAUGUACAAAAGUCAACUAGCAAGUCAGUGUCCACCAGUCAAUUAGAUGUCAUUCUGACACCAAACUGAUACAAAUUGACACUAAACCCACUUUUUCCAACCUGUUUAGUAGCCAACUAUCACACACUUCAGAGCUGGCCCAAAAUUCACAACGCCUUUGGUUCAAACCAUAAAAAAAACAUAAAACAUGUAGUUACGUUCUAGCUGCGGGUCCAUUUCUUAUGUUACGUGUAGGCCUAGCUGAGGCGACCCCGAAUCCUAAGUUUCGGCUCGAUCGGUCAUUUGGUGUCCGAGCAAAACCCUAAUUGGUGCUGAAAAUCCACUUUUUUCCAUGACUUGCUACGGGGUCCUUGAAUGAGCUAUCGGACAGAAACGUUGGGGUCUGUCUAUAUGGGCCGAGACGGUCGCAAUGCACCUAGUCUUGUGUCUCUGAGACAUUUCUAAAUGUCGCCAUUUUCGUAAUGGUCAAAAUGAAUUGAAGUCAUUGCAAAUGUACGAAGCUGUUUCUCGGUCCGAGAACCGUCUAGAGCCACGUAACUCACCACGCACUAUCGACCUGAGGUCUAGAACAGGAUUCUAAAGUUUCGGAACUCUAGGUCUGACGGUUCUUUUUUAGCUCGAACAAAGCUAACUAUUGGAGGCACUGUCUGUCUCUACAAACCCUAAUACGUCCCUCCUUCCAAGUUGUGUGUCUGUGUGAUUUAGUUUUCCUUUGAAAUUUUAUGGGAAAAAUGACUGA
Long non-coding RNA from Oncorhynchus keta (chum salmon), 1916 nucleotides. RefSeq lists it as uncharacterized. NCBI's taxonomy places the organism in Eukaryota, Metazoa, Chordata, Actinopteri, Salmoniformes, Salmonidae. The record is from RefSeq and is a predicted model, not a curated record. The transcript has 3 exons.